Molecule: long non-coding RNA, 740 nt
Organism: Drosophila sulfurigaster albostrigata
Lineage: Eukaryota; Metazoa; Arthropoda; Insecta; Diptera; Drosophilidae
Exons: 3
Source: RefSeq, a predicted model, not a curated record
GAUCAGCUGCACAAGAAUGCCACUCAGAGAGCGGGAGAGAGAGCCCUCAGUAGCAAAAGAAAAUGCGAAUAAGAAAUCUUAACGGAAGAGCGCGAGAGAGCGGAUGUGUUCAAUGAAAAUGUACACCAGAUCGUAACGACAUACUUACAUACAUUUGUAUGCAAAAGCUAAACGGGAACGAUGUGACAUUGGAACAGACUGACGCUUAGUGCUGGGAAGGCUGCCGCAAUACCACCAAUCUGAUGGAAAUGGACUGUGGGAUUUGUGUGGAACUCUGCUUGGCUGGAAUGAAGCAGUCCGCAGUGGGUCAAGUUCAGCUGAUAAUAAGACGCAUCUCCUAUCACAGCGAUCGGAAGUGUCACACAAAGAAACUUAUACAUCUUUUGAUGAGGCACUUUUCCUGCUUCGUAGCGGAAAACAACUUUGACUAAUGAUGCUGCCUUGACAGUGGAUUCGCAGACACUUUUCUUCUCUGUUCUGACUGCCACAAUUGUUGCACACCGGGGGCAACUCUACCUGGCUGCCACACACAGAUACAGCUAUAGCUACACAUAGACAAUAAGAAGACAGCAUGAUCCUGCAGGAUAUCUCUUUGAGUAGCAGCAGCAGUUGGACUUGACUUGAGAAAAGUUGCAGCCGUUUUCGGAGGAUGCUUUUGAACAGCGCAGCAGUCAGUAGUUGCAACAAUUUCCGGCAUCAAUUACCCGGACGUGUUGCACAGUGGUACAAAGCUUAUAGAA